This 57-nucleotide transfer RNA is filed under the name Siboglinum ekmani. RNAcentral's name for it is "tRNA-Ser". Lineage: Eukaryota; Metazoa; Annelida; Polychaeta; Sabellida; Siboglinidae. The record is from RNAcentral.
AAAAAAUUAAAGUUGCCUUCUAAGCUUCUUCAGGUUGAUUAAAAUCACCAUUUUUUA